This is a non-coding RNA of Bos taurus (domestic cattle), 73 nucleotides long. The record is from Rfam. Lineage: Eukaryota; Metazoa; Chordata; Mammalia; Artiodactyla; Bovidae.
UCCCUGGUAGUCCAGGGGCUAAGACUCCAUGCUCCCAAUGCAGGGGGCCCAGGUUCGAACCCUGGCCAGGGAA